AAUAAAGUGCCUGAAAAAGGGUUAUUCUGAUAGGAUAAAUCAUGUAAAAAAUUUACCUUUAUUA
RNAcentral lists this transfer RNA (64 nucleotides) under Parantica sita. RNAcentral's name for it is "tRNA-Ile". The record is from RNAcentral. RNAcentral also lists the same sequence under 1 other name. Lineage: Eukaryota; Metazoa; Arthropoda; Insecta; Lepidoptera; Nymphalidae.